This 799-nucleotide ribosomal RNA is filed under the name Ruegeria sp. RNAcentral describes it as "bacterial SSU rRNA". It matches the Rfam family "Bacterial small subunit ribosomal RNA", at positions 81 to 916 of the family's 1533-position model. The record is from RNAcentral. Lineage: Bacteria; Pseudomonadati; Pseudomonadota; Alphaproteobacteria; Rhodobacterales; Roseobacteraceae.
GCCUUUCGGGGUGAGCGGCGGACGGGUUAGUAACGCGUGGGAACAUACCCUUUGGUACGGAAUAGCCUCUGGAAACGGAGAGUAAUACCGUAUGAGCCCUUCGGGGGAAAGAUUUAUCGCCAAAGGAUUGGCCCGCGUUAGAUUAGGUAGUUGGUGGGGUAAUGGCCUACCAAGCCUACGAUCUAUAGCUGGUUUUAGAGGAUGAUCAGCAACACUGGGACUGAGACACGGCCCAGACUCCUACGGGAGGCAGCAGUGGGGAAUCUUGGACAAUGGGGGCAACCCUGAUCCAGCCAUGCCGCGUGAGUGAUGAAGGCCUUAGGGUCGUAAAGCUCUUUCGCCUGUGAAGAUAAUGACGGUAGCAGGUAAAGAAACCCCGGCUAACUCCGUGCCAGCAGCCGCGGUAAUACGGAGGGGGUUAGCGUUGUUCGGAAUUACUGGGCGUAAAGCGCACGUAGGCGGACUGGAAAGUUGGGGGUGAAAUCCCAGGGCUCAACCCUGGAACUGCCUCCAAAACUAUCAGUCUAGAGUUCGAGAGAGGUGAGUGGAAUUCCGAGUGUAGAGGUGAAAUUCGUAGAUAUUCGGAGGAACACCAGUGGCGAAGGCGGCUCACUGGCUCGAUACUGACGCUGAGGUGCGAAAGUGUGGGGAGCAAACAGGAUUAGAUACCCUGGUAGUCCACACCGUAAACGAUGAAUGCCAGUCGUCGGGUAGCAUGCUAUUCGGUGACACACCUAACGGAUUAAGCAUUCCGCCUGGGGAGUACGGUCGCAAGAUUAAAACUCAAAGGAAUUGACGG